This 253-nucleotide ribosomal RNA is filed under the name uncultured bacterium. RNAcentral's name for it is "partial 16S ribosomal RNA". It matches the Rfam family "Bacterial small subunit ribosomal RNA", at positions 524 to 776 of the family's 1533-position model. The record is from RNAcentral.
UACGGAGGGUGCAAGCGUUAUCCGGAUUCACUGGGUUUAAGGGGUGCGUAGGUGGGAAUGUAAGUCAGUGGUGAAAUCUCCGUGCUUAACACGGAAACUGCCAUUGAUACUAUGUUUCUUGAAUUUUCCGGAGGUCAGCGGAAUAUGUCAUGUAGCGGUGAAAUGCUUAGAUAUGACAUAGAACACCAAUUGCGAAGGCAGCUGACUACAGGGACAUUGACACUGAGGCACGAAAGCGUGGGGAUCAAACAGG